Molecule: ribosomal RNA, 773 nt
Filed under: uncultured Neocallimastigales
Lineage: Eukaryota; Fungi; Neocallimastigomycota; Neocallimastigomycetes; Neocallimastigales
Description: partial large subunit ribosomal RNA
Rfam family: Eukaryotic large subunit ribosomal RNA
Source: RNAcentral
UACUAGAGUAGCACUCGCAUAUCAAUAAGCGGAGGAAAAGAAACUAACAAGGAUUCCCCUAGUAACGGCGAGUGAAGCGGGAAGAGCUCAAAUUUGAAAUCUUAAAGGGUUUCCCUUUACGAAUUGUAGUUUAAAGAAGUGUUUUCUGUUGAGGUUUUGGUAAAAGUUCUUUGGAAUAGGACAUCAUAGAGGGUGAGAAUCCCGUAUUUGACCUUUACUUUCAACUUUGUGAUACACUUUCAAAGAGUCGGAUUGUUUGGGAAUGCAGUCCAAAAUGGGUGGUAAAUUUCAUCUAAAGCUAAAUAUUGGCGAGAGACCGAUAGCGAACAAGUACCGUGAGGGAAAGAUGAAAAGAACUUUGAAAAGAGAGUUAAACAGUACGUGAAAUUGUCAAAAGGGAAGCGUUUGACACCAGUGUUGUUUUUCUGAAAAUCAAUUAAAGAACUGUUUAUGCUAAGCUGUUUAGACUUUAUCAGCUAUCUGUUUAGUUUUGAGCUUUUCUUUAAUGCACUUUUCAGUUAACAAGUCAACAUCAAUUUCUUUUGCUGUAAAAAAGCUUGAGGAAGGUGGCUUGAGAUUCGUCUUAAGUGUUUAUAGCCUCUUGCCUAUGCAGUCGGAGAGAUUGAGGUCUGCAGCGUAGAUCCUUCGGGGCUAAAUGCAUUUGUGCUAAGUUAUAGCAUUUUACAGACAACUUGUUGACUAUGAUUUGUCUUGUAGCUUACUCGCUUAUGUUAUUUUACCUACGCUUAGGAUGUUGAACUACUGAGACAUAG